Hypanus sabinus (Atlantic stingray) is the source of this 1586-nucleotide long non-coding RNA. RefSeq lists it as uncharacterized. NCBI's taxonomy places the organism in Eukaryota, Metazoa, Chordata, Chondrichthyes, Myliobatiformes, Dasyatidae. The transcript is spliced from 5 exons. The record is from RefSeq and is a predicted model, not a curated record.
GUCCGCCGAUCAAACCAGGAACCAACCGCGGGUGGGGGUUGGGUUCGAGGGGAUACGAUUCUCCAGGACAAAAAGACUCUGCAUGAGUGUUCUUCUGCGUUCUUCAAUUCUUUUUCACUUAUUUCAUCCCUCUCUAAUCCCCUUCUUCCACUCCGUUAUCCCCCCUUUCUAUUUAUAACUCCAUCCAUAAGUCAUCCGCUGUAUCCCUCUUCCCUCUCUGUAGCACAGUCCCUCCUCCCACUGAGAUAACGCCCCUCAAUGUCCCUCUUUCUGCAUUGCUUUCCACCGUCAGCUCGCCUUUUGCUUUGUCCCUCCCACCACCAAAUUAAAUUUAUAUAGACCCCGUCGUUUCACCCUGUCUGUACCCAUUCUCUGUUACAUCUGACCCUAAACCCUCUUUAUCUCCGCUCCUUCCUCCCUGUCCCUGUCACUUAUUUACCUCUCUCUGACCUCCCCCAGCCUUCCCUCAUUCUCUCCCUCUUUCUCCCCAUUCUCACAACUCCUCCCCCGGCCGCUCUCACAUCUCGAGAACACCCGCCUUCACAGCCAUAAUCUGCCUCCUGGCUGGCACCUCCUCCCCAUCUCUCGGCCUCUCCCUUCAUCUGGUGUUUGUUGGUGCCGGACAGACUCCCCUGUAAACACGGGCUUCCCUGGACAACGGUUACUUCCCCUUUCUGAGCUCAGAGACGCAGAGAAUCCUCGACAGGUCGGACGACAACGAGACUUACAUAAAUGUGAAGUUCACGAAAACGGACUUUGAGACCCCUUCUCGGGGAAAGGCGGGCAGAAAUACGUUGCGAGAAAGAUUCGGUUUGUGUCUGGCAACGGUGGUGUGUGAUGGGCAGCUGUGAAGGGAAUUUGUUUCAGUGUCCAAUCCGGUGAGUGUGUGAUGGGACGGUGUGGAGGGAGCUUCACACUGUGUCUGACUCCGGGAGUGUGUGAUGAAUCCUUAUGGAGGGGGAUCACUCUGUGUUUAACCCCGGGAGUGUGUGAUGAGACCUUGUGGAGGGGGAUCACUCUGUGUCUGACCGUGGGAGUGUGUAUUGGGACUUUGUGGAGGGAGCUUCACUCUGUGACUGACUCUCAAUCUUCUGUCCCCAGCUGAACCUGAUGUAUCGUACGUUGAAGUUAAUUUCAGGACCCCCUCGGCGCCCCGAGUCCGGACAGAUCGAGACGGUCAGAACACCACCUACUCAGAGCUGAACGUUCGGAAAAAGAACCCGCAUCGAUAAGGACGAACAUUCUCCCAUUUCCUCGGGUCCCGGCGGGCGGUCAACCGCUGCAGAAACAGCUGAACCUAAUGUAUCGUACGUGGAAGUUAAUUUCAAGACCCCAUCGGCGCCCCGGGUCCGGACAGAUCGAGAAGGUCUGAAAUCCACCUACUCAGAGCUGAACGUUCGGAAAAAGAAACCCCGCGUCGAUGAGGACGAAGAUCCUCCCAUUUCCUCGGGACCCGGCGGGCUGUCAACCGCUGCACAAACAGCUGCGCAUGAUCAACAGUCGAAAGUGAAGAUCGGAAAUAGACCGUACCGUCUGAUCUGCCUACUCUGCCUAGUUACAUUCGCCCUCAUCGUGAUAGUGGCCGG